RNAcentral lists this ribosomal RNA (261 nucleotides) under uncultured bacterium. Its description in RNAcentral is "partial 16S ribosomal RNA". It matches the Rfam family "Bacterial small subunit ribosomal RNA", at positions 335 to 613 of the family's 1533-position model. The record is from RNAcentral.
GACCCUACGGGACGCAGCAGUGGGGAAUAUUGCACAAUGGGGGAAACCCUGAUGCAGCGACGCCGCGUGAGUGAAGAAGUAAUUCGUUAUGUAAAGCUCUAUCAGCAGGGAAGAAAAUGACGGUACCUGAGUAAGAAGCCCCGGCUAACUACGUGCCAGCAGCCGCGGUAAUACGUAGGGGGCAAGCGUUAUCCGGAUUUACUGGGUGUAAAGGGAGCGUAGACGGCGAUGCAAGCGAGAUGUGAAAGCCGGGGGCUCAAC